CCCGUACCCCAAACCGACUCAGGUGAUCAGGUAGAGAAUACUAAGGCGAUCGAGUGAACUAUGGUUAAGGAACUCGGCAAAAUGCCCCCGUAACUUCGGGAGAAGGGGGGCCGGAUUUGUUAUUGCACUUGCUGCAAAAAGCAAUGAUGGCCGCAGAGACCAGGCCCAAGCGACUGUUUACUAAAAACACAGGUCCGUGCGAAGUUGUAAGACGAUGUAUACGGACUGACUCCUGCCCGGUGCUGGAAGGUUAAGGGGACCUGUUAGAUCUUCGGAUCGAAGCGGAGAACUUAAGCCCCAGUAAACGGCGGUGGUAACUAUAACCAUCCUAAGGUAGCGAAAUUCCUUGUCGGGUAAGUUCCGACCUGCACGAAUGGAGUAACGACUUGGGCGCUGUCUCAACCAUAGACUCGGCGAAAUUGCACUACGAGUAAAGAUGCUCGUUACGCGCGGCAGGACGGAAAGACCCCGGGACCUUUACUAUAGUUUGGUAUUGGUGUUUGGUUCGAUUUGUGUAGGAUAGGUGGGAGACUUUGAAGCUUGGACGCCAGUUCAGGUGGAGUCAACGUUGAAAUACCACUCUGAUCGUAUUAGACAUCUAACCUAGGUCCAUUAUCUGGAUCAGGGACAGUGCCUGAUGGGUAGUUUAACUGGGGCGGUUGCCUCCUAAAAUGUAACGGAGGCGCUCAAAGGUUCCCUCAGCCUGGUUGGCAAUCAGGUUUCGAGUGUAAGUGCACAAGGGAGCUUGACUGUGAGAGUGACAACUCGAGCAGGGACGAAAGUCGGAACUAGUGAUCCGGCGCUGGCAUGUGGAAGCGGCGUCGCUCAACGGAUAAAAGGUACCCCGGGGAUAACAGGCUGAUCUUCCCCAAGAGUCCAUAUCGACGGGAUGGUUUGGCACCUCGAUGUCGGCUCGUCGCAUCCUGGGGCUGGAGUAGGUCCCAAGGGUUGGGCUGUUCGCCCAUUAAAGCGGCACGCGAGCUGGGUUUAGAACGUCGUGAGACAGUUCGGUCCCUAUCCGCCGCGCGCGCAGGAAACUUGAGAAAGGCUGUCCCUAGUACGAGAGGACCGGGAUGGACGAACCUCUGGUGUGCCAGUUGUUCCGCCAGGAGCACGGCUGGUUAGCUACGUUCGGAAGUGAUAACCGCUGAAAGCAUCUAAGCGGGAAGCACGUUUCAAGAUGAGGUUUCCCACCGGGUUAACCGGGUAAGGCCCCCAGUAGACGACUGGGUUGAUAGGCCGGAGGUGUACAGCAGUAAUGCCUAGCCGACCGGUACUAAUAGGCCGAGGGCUUGUCCCA
RNAcentral lists this ribosomal RNA (1300 nucleotides) under metagenome. RNAcentral describes it as "bacterial LSU rRNA". It matches the Rfam family "Bacterial large subunit ribosomal RNA", at positions 1641 to 2925 of the family's 2925-position model. The record is from RNAcentral.